This 2144-nucleotide long non-coding RNA is filed under the name Gallus gallus (chicken). RNAcentral describes it as "long non-coding RNA NONGGAT005849". The record is from RNAcentral. Lineage: Eukaryota; Metazoa; Chordata; Aves; Galliformes; Phasianidae.
UCUCAGACUGAGGUGAAGGAGGCUUGCAGACAGAGUUACCCGUGCUGCAGGAGCCGACCAUCUGAGUCCACAGACGAUCAUGACAGAAAGGGUUGAGAGCAAAAAGCGCUUCCUAAAGUCUUCUGUGGUAAUCCUGAGAUCUGGCCGUGCCUUACAUCACGCUGUGAGGUCGGCUGCCUUCUUCUGUGAUGAUGAUUUUCCUUCGGAUUUUUGUCUCCAAAUUGCAGUGGGAUCACUUGAGGCUUAUUUGAAGCAAGCAGCAGCUCGGCUUGCUUGGCCUGCAUUGGGUCCCUCUGGGUGCACCCACAGUCAGGAGUGCGGGAUCCCCUCUGCAGAUACCACCCAACCUGACUGCAGACCACUGCCACGUUGUUGGCCGUGUAACACCCUGCUCCCUGUGCUUCUGUUUGCUGUCCUUGCAUGCCCAGUGGCAGUUUUCUCUCUCUCCUCUGGCUUUUUGUGACAAGUCUUUUCCUCCGUGCCUAGAAAAAACAUAAACGCCCACAAAGACAAACAUAGUGCAGAAUUUACAGCCAGAGCAGGUUCCUCAUCUGCAACCACCCUCUCGGACUCCGUCGUUAGCAAACUGCUGAGGUUGGCCUCCCAGGGCCUUGGGCCGGGCUGCUCCAAAGUGCCAGUCACACCAAACCUGUGAUAGCACUUGGGACUAAGGGAGGAUGGCUGGCCCUGCUUGGAGACGUGACCUGGGGGUAAACUGAGGAAGCCAUGGAGAAAGAGCUGAGAAAUCAAGCAUAGAAAAACCUAAACUAAUUUUGGUAGACUGUUGUAAGGGCGUUGAAUUGCCAUGAACUACUCAGCCUGGUAGCACAGCAGCCAGCGCUUCCAUGGGCAAUUGACAAAGUUCAUAUCAUUCUAUAACACAAACUAUGAAGUUCUAGUACAGACUCUAUUGAUGCUAAAUGCUGUACCAGGAUAUGACAGAAAUUGUUCUGCCUCUAAGAGCUGACGUGGUGCUCCUGGAGCUGCCAUGGAAAGAAGGUGAGGAGAACAAGAGCAACAAUGACACGAUUUCUGGGACUGCCUACCAGCACAGCACACCUUCCCACUGAGGGCUUCCUAACACUAAGUGACACAUGGCAGGAGUCCACAACUGCAGAAGACAGCAGCUGGUUGAGCCCCAGAGGAACCACUUUUAACAAGAAAUAGACAACAAACUACACUUUGUGGUCCUCAAACCUGCAUCUUGAAGUACAGUAACCAACAUGUCCUUGCUGAGGAGUGGGCAGCGAUCUCCAUCAUCAGUGGAGAUGAUGGACAACAUGCAUGAAAAACAAAAUAUGAUGCCCUUGCUAGCAGUCUCAAUCAGUCAAUGGCUUUCUCCUCAAGCUGCAUAACAGGAUUUUAUCUCCUGACCCUUGAGAACUUACGCUGGAUGAGCUUGAAGGAGCCUGAGAAAGACUCCUGUAAUUGCAGACAGCAAAAGCAGAGACACAAAUGAAGGUGUCCACUUCUCUCAAGUACAAACAUGCUGUCAGAGGCAUAUUUCCAGUCUUUGUCCCUCAUAGGGCUGUUCUUCCCCUGAUUUUAGAGUACAAGAUAUUUCCUGCUAGCCAAGUUGAUCUCAAGUUGAAAAUUCAACAUGACUAGCCUCAGAAUAUAUUCAAAAUGAACAGUAAAAACUAUUUGUUUCCAUCUUUGUCAUCCUCCAUUCAUCCUCGCUUUCCACCAUCUGCUACUACAAUCUCCAACUCCAGACAACCCACCAUAGCCUUUCCUGUUGACCCUGAAAAGGAAGGAGCUCUACUUGUAGAGCAAUGAGUCUACCACAGCAGCACAGAGGGAUUUGCAGGCACACAGCCAGGUGCAUGCCAGUGGCCUCCCUUCUCCAAGCACUGCCAGAAGCAGGUGAAACAUGCAUCAAGUCACCUGGCCUCAGCAGAAGUUGGAGACAGAGUGAAGGAGAUGUUAAGGAAGUGAACUUGGGCAGAUAAAUUACCAGUGCAAUUUCACCAGUUUCACCAAUUCCACCAAGGAUGGAUUUGGUCCAAGAAAACAGCAAGAGCAUGACCCUUCACAAAGUCAGAGCCAGGGAAUCAGCAUCACAUGCUACAACUCACAUUUACAGUUCUGCACAUGCACUAGGACAUUAGCUCUCAAUUGCUCAUCUUCAGUUCUCCUAACUC